AGGAGCAACAACCCCAGUGGCAGGGCCAGCUCUGCAGCCCUGGAGUCAGCUCCCGCAGUAACCACGGAGCUCUCUGUCUGCAGGGCCUGGAGGCUCCGGGGCGGG
Molecule: non-coding RNA, 105 nt
Organism: Canis lupus familiaris (dog)
Lineage: Eukaryota; Metazoa; Chordata; Mammalia; Carnivora; Canidae
Source: Rfam